RNAcentral lists this ribosomal RNA (253 nucleotides) under uncultured bacterium. Its description in RNAcentral is "partial 16S ribosomal RNA". It matches the Rfam family "Bacterial small subunit ribosomal RNA", at positions 524 to 776 of the family's 1533-position model. The record is from RNAcentral.
UACGUAGGGUGCAAGCGUUAAUCGGAAUUACUGGGCGUAAAGCGUGCGCAGGCGGUUAUGCAAGACAGAGGUGAAAUCCCCGGGCUCAACCUGGGAACUGCCUUUGUGAUUGCAUAGCUAGAGUACGGUAGAGGGGGAUGGAAUUCCGCGUGUAGCAGUGAAAUGCGUAGAUAUGCGGAGGAACACCGAUGGCGAAGGCAAUCCCCUGGACCUGUACUGACGCUCAUGCACGAAAGCGUGGGGAGCAAACAGG